RNAcentral lists this unclassified non-coding RNA (272 nucleotides) under fungal sp. RNAcentral describes it as "partial internal transcribed spacer region". The stretch from base 1 to 46 matches the Rfam family "Eukaryotic small subunit ribosomal RNA", at positions 1786 to 1831 of the family's 1831-position model. The record is from RNAcentral. Lineage: Eukaryota; Fungi.
AAGUCGUAACAAGGUUUCCGUAGGUGAACCUGCGGAAGGAUCAUCAAUGAAAAAAUCCAGCCAAAACACUUGGGCAUUCUAGCCUGGUUGGUUGUCUUUAGGGAAACCUUUGACAUCAAGUAGGUCUAAGUUUUUUUAGACCAGGGAAUUGACGGAAAAAAAAUUAGACCAGAGAUUGGUCAAGGUAAACUUUCAGGUUCAAGUUUAACUCUUGACCUGAUAUUUACACUAGAAAAAAAAACAACUUUCGGCAACGGAUCUCUCGGCUCUCC